This 3447-nucleotide long non-coding RNA is filed under the name Homo sapiens (human). Its description in RNAcentral is "HSALNT0325041". Lineage: Eukaryota; Metazoa; Chordata; Mammalia; Primates; Hominidae. The record is from RNAcentral.
GUGGAGGUUGCAGUGAGCUGAGAUCGCGCCACUGCACUCCAGCUUGGGCGACAGAGCGAGACUCCAUCUAAAAAAUACAGCUGUAUCAAAUCUGCUUGUGCUUUGGCCAUCUGAGAGAUCUUAAGUGUGCAAUGCAAUGAGGAUGGAGCAACGUAUACACCAAUCAAGAGAAAGAACAUGUCCAUUACCCCAAAAAGUUCUCUUACACCCGCUUCCAGGCUAGAGUGCAGUGGUAGGAUCUCGGCUCACUGCAGCAUUGACCUCCUGGGCUCAAGCUAUCCUCCCACCUCAGCCUUCUGAGUAGCUGGGACCGCAGAGGUGCAUCACCAUACUCGGCUAAGUUUUAUGUAAUUCACUGAAACACGACUGAUAGACCCCGAAGAAGAAAAGGGCCGAAUAUUAUUUGGGUCAAGAAUACUUUACUCUCAGGAAGCAAAAACAUUCUGAAAGGUUCCAAAUGAAAGAAGACAUCUGAUGGGCAAUGUGUAAAUCACUGGACUAAUCUGAUUUUGUUAUGCACUUACACCUGUGAUUCCGGAUGUCAAAUUUCGCAAGUCCUUUAUCCCUUGAAUUUUCCUAUAAAAUACCAUUGAAAGAGGGAAAGAAGAUGGCUAGUGGACACUUUUCUACACCAUCAAUGUAGAAGGCAACUGAUCCUGAGCACACGUCUCCAUGGCGGCAGGAGUCAUUGCUUUUUAGAUCACGUUCUCCGAGCAAGAGCCGAGAAAUCGAUAUCUCUCACAAGGCUGUAGACGUGCUGGAACUGAUUAGUCAUUAACCUAUUGUCACUCCUCCCAGCGCUCAUGGAAGGAGUUGCAGCAUGUCAAUGGAUUUUAAAAGAGUACCAGGAUUAAACUUCUCCAUGGCAGUGGGCAUUUGUGAAAGGUCUGUUCUGAAAUACCAGUACCAUCUUCUCACAUGUUAAGGGCCAAAAAUCUCAGUAAGUCACUCCAAAUCAGGUUUUACAGAUGAUUUUUUGAAAUAUUGAUUCUGGUAUUGUCCCUGAAAAUUUAAUUUAUCAAAUAAGCCAAUUAAGAAGCGUCUUUUAAAGGCACGUAGGGACCAUUCAGCACUGGAUGGACAAGAAAAUGAACAUAUUAAUCUUACAGUCAGCAACGUUUUGUUGAUGCUUUGGAAACUGAACUGCAAAGGAGUACUUAAAUGAACUGAAAGAGUUAAUUUGACUUCUAAGAGCCAUAAACUGGCUUGGGUUGGGUGGAUUCUGUAUUCCCAGACUCUGGUUCAAUAAAAAUGUAAAUGUUAUCUGGGUACACAAAGCAUAUUUCAUGGCGAUAAUGAAUCUGUUGACAUACUGUUCAUACUUUAUUAUAUAAAUUUUAGUAAUGUAUUUGCCAGAGAGAAAAAUGAAUACACAGGGAAAGACUCUGUGCUCAGCUCUACAAUCUGCCCCAGGUUGGCUGGCACACGUUCGCUUCUGACCUUGGCGCAGUUUGCUGGGCUGCCUUGAUUUAAUCAAUCAGAGCCCUGUGGAUGUUGAGAGGAACACGACGGCGUCAUUGACUGAGCUAAUCUAACUGGAUUUGAAAUAGGAGCUAGAAGAUGGGUUAUUUUUAAACCAAAACCCACUGAUGCAUAAACCUAUCCUGCAGCGUGAUUGCUUAGAUUUAUAAUCGAUUAGGUGUGUCUUAGUGUGUAUGUAAUCCCUGAGAGGUGACCACAUUAGGAGGGGAUGGGCUUGAGUUCGCAGGCAGAGGAGGCCUUCUCCUUUGGCUGGCCUGCCGUAGGCUCUGCCUGCAGGCCCAGAAUGGAGUGCUGUUUAGUGUGACCUGUUACCAGCAUGGGCUUUCUAAUUUGCAAGGCCGCGGGCAAAACGGACAUGCAGAACCUUUUGAUCAAAAAUUUUGAAGAAUUUCAGGGUGGUGACAGCAGAACCUUAAACCAGCUGCACAAGUCACAGAUCCAAAAAGUCAGCCUUGCUUGCUGGGUUAUGAGGAUAGAGGGCUGCCCUCUAGCGUUACAGGAAAGAGGAAUUCUGCUUCCUGAUGUUUGCUUUUUAUUUUUUCUCCCACAGGCCCAGUUAGAGAUUCCCCAGCAGGUUUCUUUUUGCAACAAAUAAAUUGCUACAGAGUAAAUAUAUGGGAGAACCUCUUGCUCUCCAGGCCUUACCCUUGGAGUGGCAGCCCUGCUACCCAGAGACACAGAAAUGAACCAGAGGUCUCCUUUGGGGUCCCUUUAGUUUCAAGAGUCCAUAUUUCACGCUCCUGGCUUUGUACUAAAGGACGUUUUUCAUUUUACUUCAUAUGGCUUGUAAGUUAUUAUUUUGUUUCUUUUUUUCUUUUUUUCCUUUUUGAAAUACAAACUUGUGGAGAACUUUUUAAAAGGCAUACUUAGUGCAAUCGAUUCUAAAACAUGAAUACAGAAACUGUAAUGAUUGUACUGUUUCACUUUUUUUGGUAUUAAACAUAAAGCAAUGACAGAAGCCCGCAUAAAAAUAAGCAUCAAAACAAAACAAAGAUCAAACAAAGCCUCAGAGAAGCACUGACAUAUUCUUCAUUUUUAUAUUAUUUUCCUUCUAAGUCCUGUGUCUAUGAUGAUGAAAUUUAAAUUGUAGUGUUCAGGAGGAAAGGAGGAGUAGGAAUGUUGAUUUUUGUUCCUGUUUCACUUCUUGUAGCCUUACUUUUCAAAGUAAAUUGGAAACUAUUACAAGGGUCCCAGGAUCCCUGUCUUUCCCACGCCUUCACCCUGCCCCCUUCAUCCAGCACAUGGUAGGCACAUAAUGUUAGUUUAAUAAACUAAUGGAAGGAUGAGUGAAUUAAAAAAAAUUCAAAAAGAUCAAGGGCAAAAUAAUCUCCAUGUCAUUACAUUGUAACAAAAUUUCUUAAAAGUCUUAAGACUGCCUUUACCAUACAGAGAACAUAUAUAUGGUAUACAUACUGGAUAUUUAAAAGAUUCCACUUCCCCACUAGGAAGAAGGAGACAGUAAUUAAGCAUUUCCUUUUCCUCAUAAGUUUUUCAGCUCUUUUCGCAUAAACCUAAAUGACGGAUUAUUUAUUUUUUCUCCCUUCUUGAGUGGGUGAAGACAAACAUGUAUCAAUACAAGGGGUAAAGAAGCAGCAAAGAUUGAAGAGAAGAUGAAUAAUUAGUCUGUUGCUAGCACAGGAAAGGACUGGAAAUGUGCAACUCUGCCCGCCCCAGAAAGACCAAGCACACAGCCGGAGGAAGACAGAACCAACACAAUAGAAACCGUGUCCAGCUUCCCACUCAACCGUGUUUCCUUGGAAGGGAUUGGGUUCUGGAUAUUUAUACCGCGGAUUCAUCAGUGUUGUCUGUCAUGGAAGCUUGCUCUCAGAACCUUCAAAAACCUAAAAUCUGGGAGUAUAGUAAUCACAUCCUGAGGUUCAUAGCAAAGCACCGAGCCCAAAGCAUCCAGCCCAGUGAGGUUUGGUGGGAGGGUCUGAGGUUGAAAUUACCUGGGUUACAGUCACA